UAACCGUUAGGUGAGGUAACCACAGGGAUAAUCAAUUUUACAUUGAUAUUACACUGCUUUCAGUUAAUGGGUUGCUGCCGCGAAAAUAUGGAGACAUAUUCAGAUGGUCAGCAGGUCGGGUCGAACAACAAGGUCCAACCUAAUGCAACUUCAACGCCCUGCGAUGCCAAAGCUCAUACGGUGGCA
Molecule: small RNA, 186 nt
Filed under: bovine gut metagenome
Description: M-box riboswitch (ykoK leader)
Rfam family: M-box riboswitch aptamer (ykoK leader)
About the family: M-box riboswitch, also know as ykoK leader is described as a metaloregulatory RNA that sense divalent metals and function as a genetic control element of genes related to divalent metal transport in bacteria. It was first reported upstream of the B.subtilis ykoK gene and genes with related functions in other bacteria. Phylogenetic analysis of the distribution of M-box RNAs across bacterial genomes revealed that M-box riboswitches are most often employed for the regulation of Mg2+ transporter genes
Source: RNAcentral